Molecule: ribosomal RNA, 1543 nt
Filed under: Salmonella enterica subsp. enterica serovar Manhattan
Lineage: Bacteria; Pseudomonadati; Pseudomonadota; Gammaproteobacteria; Enterobacterales; Enterobacteriaceae
Description: partial 23S ribosomal RNA
Rfam family: Bacterial large subunit ribosomal RNA
Source: RNAcentral
AGACCCGAAACCCGGUGAUCUAGCCAUGGGCAGGUUGAAGGUUGGGUAACACUAACUGGAGGACCGAACCGACUAAUGUUGAAAAAUUAGCGGAUGACCUGUGGCUGGGGGUGAAAGGCCAAUCAAACCGGGAGAUAGCUGGUUCUCCCCGAAAGCUAUUUAGGUAGCGCCUCGUGAAUUCAUCUCCGGGGGUAGAGCACUGUUUCGGCUAGGGGGCCAUCCCGGCUUACCAACCCGAUGCAAACUGCGAAUACCGGAGAAUGUUAUCACGGGAGACACACGGCGGGUGCUAACGUCCGUCGUGAAGAGGGAAACAACCCAGACCGCCAGCUAAGGUCCCAAAGUCAUGGUUAAGUGGGAAACGAUGUGGGAAGGCCCAGACAGCCAGGAUGUUGGCUUAGAAGCAGCCAUCAUUUAAAGAAAGCGUAAUAGCUCACUGGUCGAGUCGGCCUGCGCGGAAGAUGUAACGGGGCUAAACCAUGCACCGAAGCUGCGGCAGCGAACGUAUCACUUAAAGCGAUUCAGCGGGUUACGAUUGACGGAGCGAAGCGACGUCAAAGCGUAUACAAAGUCGAGUCGGUUUAAGGAUACGUUCGUUGGGUAGGGGAGCGUUCUGUAAGCCUGUGAAGGUGGCCUGUGAGGGUUGCUGGAGGUAUCAGAAGUGCGAAUGCUGACAUAAGUAACGAUAAAGCGGGUGAAAAGCCCGCUCGCCGGAAGACCAAGGGUUCCUGUCCAACGUUAAUCGGGGCAGGGUGAGUCGACCCCUAAGGCGAGGCCGAAAGGCGUAGUCGAUGGGAAACGGGUUAAUAUUCCCGUACUUGGUGUUACUGCGAAGGGGGGACGGAGAAGGCUAUGUUGGCCGGGCGACGGUUGUCCCGGUUUAAGCGUGUAGGUGUGUGUUCCAGGUAAAUCCGGUUCACUUUAACACUGAGGCGUGACGACGAGGCACUACGGUGCUGAAGCAACAAAUGCCCUGCUUCCAGGAAAAGCCUCUAAGCAUCAGGUAACAUCAAAUCGUACCCCAAACCGACACAGGUGGUCAGGUAGAGAAUACCAAGGCGCUUGAGAGAACUCGGGUGAAGGAACUAGGCAAAAUGGUGCCGUAACUUCGGGAGAAGGCACGCUGACACGUAGGUGAAGUGAUUUACUCAUGGAGCUGAAGUCAGUCGAAGAUACCAGCUGGCUGCAACUGUUUAUUAAAAACACAGCACUGUGCAAACACGAAAGUGGACGUAUACGGUGUGACGCCUGCCCGGUGCCGGAAGGUUAAUUGAUGGGGUCAGCGCAAGCGAAGCUCCUGAUCGAAGCCCCGGUAAACGGCGGCCGUAACUAUAACGGUCCUAAGGUAGCGAAAUUCCUUGUCGGGUAAGUUCCGACCUGCACGAAUGGCGUAAUGAUGGCCAGGCUGUCUCCACCCGAGACUCAGUGAAAUUGAACUCGCUGUGAAGAUGCAGUGUACCCGCGGCAAGACGGAAAGACCCCGUGAACCUUUACUAUAGCUUGACACUGAACAUUGAGCCUUGAUGUGUAGGAUAGGUGGGAG